This 71-nucleotide transfer RNA is filed under the name Gymnothorax pictus. RNAcentral's name for it is "tRNA-Tyr". It matches the Rfam family "tRNA". From Rfam's summary of the family: Transfer RNA (tRNA) molecules are approximately 80 nucleotides in length. Their secondary structure includes four short double-helical elements and three loops (D, anti-codon, and T loops). Lineage: Eukaryota; Metazoa; Chordata; Actinopteri; Anguilliformes; Muraenidae. The record is from RNAcentral.
GGUAAGAUGGCCGAGUGUCUAGGCGGUGGGCUGUAGUCCCAUGUACAGAGGUUCAACUCCUUUUCUUAUCA